UACGUAGGUCCCGAGCGUUGUCCGGAUUUAUUGGGCGUAAAGCGAGCGCAGGUGGUUUAUUAAGUCUGGUGUAAAAGGCAGUGGCUCAACCAUUGUAUGCAUUGGAAACUGGUAGACUUGAGUGCAGGAGAGGAGAGUGGAAUUCCAUGUGUAGCGGUGAAAUGCGUAGAUAUAUGGAGGAGCACCGGUGGCGAAAGCGGCUCUCUGGCCUGUAACUGACACUGAGGCUCGAAAGCGUGGGGAGCAAACAGG
This 252-nucleotide ribosomal RNA is filed under the name uncultured bacterium. RNAcentral describes it as "partial 16S ribosomal RNA". It matches the Rfam family "Bacterial small subunit ribosomal RNA", at positions 524 to 776 of the family's 1533-position model. The record is from RNAcentral.